Molecule: long non-coding RNA, 237 nt
Filed under: Volvox carteri
Lineage: Eukaryota; Viridiplantae; Chlorophyta; Chlorophyceae; Chlamydomonadales; Volvocaceae
Description: long non-coding RNA (VCAR_LNC001536)
Source: RNAcentral
AAUGCCGAAACACACGACGUGCUACAUCUCUGCGAAGUCAUACUUGUCACUGCUGCGGUUUCGCUUAGGGCUUGGCCUUUGGAGGCUAGCCGACCCGGCGGUCAGUCGCGCCAAGAGCGCUGGUGUAGGCUGUGCGGGAACAUUAAUGCAGUAGAAGAUGAGUUUUACGUGUUUGUAGACUGUCCUCGCCUACAACGACCUACGGAAAGGGCUCCUCAACCCCUAGGUGUACGCCAG